This 880-nucleotide ribosomal RNA is filed under the name uncultured bacterium. RNAcentral's name for it is "bacterial SSU rRNA". It matches the Rfam family "Bacterial small subunit ribosomal RNA", at positions 9 to 868 of the family's 1533-position model. The record is from RNAcentral.
GAGUUUGAUCAUGGCUCACAUUNAACGCUGGCGGCAGGCCUAACACAUGCAAGUCGAGCGGAAACGAGUUAUCUGAACCUUCGGGGAACGAUAACGGCGUCGAGCGGCGGACGGGUGAGUAAUGCCUAGGAAAUUGCCCUGACGUGGGGGAUAACCAUUGGAAACGAUGGCUAAUACCGCAUAAUGCCUACGGGCCAAAGAGGGGGACCUUCGGGCCUCUCGCGUCAGGAUAUGCCUAGGUGGGAUUAGCUAGUUGGUGAGGUAAUGGCUCACCAAGGCGACGAUCCCUAGCUGGUCUGAGAGGAUGAUCAGCCACACUGGAACUGAGACACGGUCCAGACUCCUACGGGAGGCAGCAGUGGGGAAUAUUGCACAAUGGGCGCAAGCCUGAUGCAGCCAUGCCGCGUGUGUGAAGAAGGCCUUCGGGUUGUAAAGCACUUUCAGUCGUGAGGAAGGUAGUGUAGUUAAUAGCUGCAUUAUUUGACGUUAGCGACAGAAGAAGCACCGGCUAACUCCGUGCCAGCAGCCGCGGUAAUACGGAGGGUGCGAGCGUUAAUCGGAAUUACUGGGCGUAAAGCGCAUGCAGGUGGUUUGUUAAGUCAGAUGUGAAAGCCCGGGGCUCAACCUCGGAAUUGCAUUUGAAACUGGCAGACUAGAGUACUGUAGAGGGGGGUAGAAUUUCAGGUGUAGCGGUGAGAUGCGUAGAGAUCUGAAGGAAUACCGGUGGCGAAGGCGGCCCCCUGGACAGAUACUGACACUCAGAUGCGAAAGCGUGGGGAGCAAACAGGAUUAGAUACCCUGGUAGUCCACGCCGUAAACGAUGUCUACUUGGANGUUGUGGCCUUGAGCCGUGGCUUUCGGAGCUAACGCGUUAAGUAAA